AAGAGUCAGGAUCCACCACGGGCGGCAAUGACUGCUCCACAUUAUCACAUGCAGUAAGAGACCCCCUAUAUUUCACCAAGGUGCUCAUAUGUUAUAUGAAGAUGUGCCCACACACCACAAAGGGCAGAAGCUUCACACACGUGACCGCCUACUGAGUGACUGCGCAUUCUGUAAAAAUUAGGAGCCCAGGCUCAUCCGCCAAGCUCAUCAUUCCAGCCAUCUCCUGGCAGCACAGAGUGGCCCUAUCAAGAAGAAUACACAAGUGUCUGUUGCAAAACAUAACAGCGCUAAGAAAUAUACAGUUUAGAAGCCAAUAACUGCCUGCAAAGGGACCUGCUGCAAGGAGAUGAACGGCCAUAAGGACAACUCUGUUCCCAUUGUAACCAAAACUCAACUAGGACAUUGUUUCCCUGCUCCCCAUCAUAAGAAAUAACCAGAUUUUAGAGGAAAUUUCAUUGCAAGAGAUUGUUAUAUUGAGCAUGCCUAUAGGAAGAGGGGCUCCCUCUAGAUCAUUAGACAGAUAGAGACUCUAGGUCUCAUGCAGAAUUAAGGAGCUCAGUUAAAUAUCAGUCCACAGCAGGAAUUAUUAAUUAAUUAAUUUAUAUCCUGCCCUUAAUGGAACGGACCAAAGAAUUUCAGAAGAAAAUCACCCUGUGCUUUAUAGAUUACAGCAAAGCCUUUGAUUGUGUAGAUCAUGAAAAACAAUGGAAUGCUUUAAAAGAAAUGGGGGUGCCAGAGCAUCUGAUUGUCCUGAUGUGCAACCUAUACUCUGGACAAGAGGCUACUGUAAAGAUAGAAUAUGUAGAAACCGAUUGGUUCCCUAUCAGAAAGGGUGUGAGACGGGUGUAUUUUAUCACCCUAUUUGCUUAACCUAUAUGCAGAAUAUAUGAUAUGGAAAGCGGGAUUGGACCAAGAUGAAGGAGGUGUGAAAAUUGGAGGGAGAAAUAUCAAUAAUUUAAGAUAUGCAGAUGAUAAUGUACCACUAGCAGAAACCAGUAAUGAUUUGAAACAAAUGCUGAUGUCAGUUAAAGAGGAAAGCACAAAAGCAGGACUACAGCUGAACGUCAAGAAGGCUAAAGUAAUGACAACAGAAGAUUUAUGUAACUUUAAAGUUGACAGUGAGGACAGGAUUGUCCAGGAUUAUCAAUACAUUGUCCAGGAUUACCAGUACCUUGGCACAGUCAUUAACCAAAAUGGAGAAGAUAAGAAAUCAGAAGAAGGCUAGGACUGGGGAGGGCAGAUAUGAGAACUUGAAAAGGUCUUCAAAUGCAAAGAUGUAUCACUGAACACUAAAGUCAGGAUCAUUCAGUCAAUGGUAUUCCCGAUCUCUAUGUAUGGAUGUGAAAGUUGGACAGUGAAAAAAAUGGAUAAGAGAAAAAUCAACUGAUUUGAAAUGCAGUGUUGGAGGAGAGCUUUGUGCAUACCAUGAACCACGAAAAAGACAAAUAAUUGGGUGUUAGAACAAAUUAAACCAGAACUAUCACUAGAAGCUAAAAUGGAGUUAUCAGGCUUUGGACACAUAAUGAAAAGACAUGAUUCACUAGAAAAGACAAUAAUGCUGGGAAAAACAGAAGGGAGUAGAAAAAGAGGAAGGCCAAACAAGAGAUGGAUUGAUUCCGUAAAGGAAGCCACAGACCUGAACUUACAAGAUUUGAAUAGGGUGGUUUAUAGCAGAGAUGCUAUUGGAGGUCGCUGAUUCAUAGGGUCGCCAUAAGUCGUAAUCAACUUGAAGGCACAUAACAACAACAAAGCCAGCCCCCAGAAUGUCAUUCCCAUGAUAUGUGGUAAUGCCAAGCAUUUUAGGAUUGUGAUAGGUCAAUAAUUGUUACGGGCCUUGUCUUAUCUCAGAUUUUCUCCUUUUUCUAUGCACUCACCCUGGUCAUGUGUUUGCUUAAUUUUACUGAGACCUCAACAUUUUCACAGUUCCUGAACCUGAUUCCUUAUGUCAGCCUAAAAUUUGCUGAAGCCUAGAAACUACGACACUUCUCAAUUCUGAUUCUUUAAAAUAGGGCUCAUCCACGCAACAGUUUAGUGUGUGUUUGGUGCUACUUGCAUCCCCUUUUAAUUCGCGUGGUUCACAUGACGUUACUGGCAAAGAGAAGCUAUCACACAAUCCCCCCCCCGUAAAUCCGUACUA
This is a long non-coding RNA of Rhineura floridana, 2137 nucleotides long. RefSeq lists it as uncharacterized. The record is from RefSeq and is a predicted model, not a curated record. Lineage: Eukaryota; Metazoa; Chordata; Lepidosauria; Squamata; Rhineuridae. The transcript has 3 exons.